GUCAGCCGCCGCGGUAACACCGGCGGCCCGAGUGGUGAUCGUGAUUAUUGGGUCUAAAGGGUCCGUAGCCGGUUGGUCAGUCCUCCGGGAAAUCUGAUAGCUCAACUAUUAGGCUUUCGGGGGAUACUGCCAGACUUGGAACCGGGAGAGGUAAGAGGUACUACAGGGGUAGGAGUGAAAUCUUGUAAUCCCUGUGGGACCACCUGUGGCGAAGGCGUCUUACCAGAACGGGUUCGACGGUGAGGGACGAAAGCUGGGGGCACGAACCGGAUUAGAUACCCGGGUAGUCCCAGCCGUAAACGAUGCUCGCUAGGUGUCAGGCAUGGCGCGACCGUGUCUGGUGCCGCAGGGAAGCCGUGAAGCGAGCCACCUGGGAAGUACGGCCGCAAGGCUGAAACUUAAAGGAAUUGGCGGGGGAGCACAACAACGGGUGGAAGCCUGCGGUUUAAUUGGACUCAACGCCGGACAACUCACCGGGGGCGACAGCAAUAUGUAGGCCAAGCUGAAGACUUUGCCUGAAUCGCUGAGAAGAGGUGCAUGG
Molecule: ribosomal RNA, 541 nt
Filed under: uncultured archaeon
Lineage: Archaea
Description: bacterial SSU rRNA
Rfam family: Archaeal small subunit ribosomal RNA
Source: RNAcentral